UGGUGAAGUUUGGCAAGAUGGAACUGUUCAGGAGCUCCAUGUGGACCUUGAUUCCCGAAAGAGACAUUUCUGGUGAUAUCAUUACUUGCUUUUCCUGGGUGUUGACACACGAGGAAAGGCAGCGACAAGAGGUUCCUGAAACGGCUUCCAUUUGGAGGCAUACUUGGGGAAAGGGAGGCCAGUGGAAGGUUACGCCGUAAGCCAACAAUGGGCUAAUUUCCACUUUGGGCAGUUUUCCUUAUAUGAACUGUUUGUAUUAAGCCUAACCC
Long non-coding RNA from Humulus lupulus (European hop), 269 nucleotides. RefSeq lists it as uncharacterized. The transcript is spliced from 3 exons. The record is from RefSeq and is a predicted model, not a curated record. Lineage: Eukaryota; Viridiplantae; Streptophyta; Magnoliopsida; Rosales; Cannabaceae.